AUUGAACGCUGGCGGCAUGCUUUACACAUGCAAGUCGAACGGCAGCGCGGGCUUCGGCCUGGCGGCGAGUGGCGAACGGGUGAGUAAUACAUCGGAACGUGCCCAGUAGUGGGGGAUAGCUCGGCGAAAGCCGGAUUAAUACCGCAUACGACCUGAGGGUGAAAGCGGGGGAUCUUCGGACCUCGCGCUAUUGGAGCGGCCGAUGGCAGAUUAGCUAGUUGGUGGGGUAAAGGCCUACCAAGGCGACGAUCUGUAGCUGGUCUGAGAUGACGACCAGCCACACUGGGACUGAGACACGGCCCAGACUCCUACGGGAGGCAGCAGUGGGGAAUUUUGGACAAUGGGCGAAAGCCUGAUCCAGCAAUGCCGCGUGUGUGAUGAAGGCCUUCGGGUUGUAAAGCACUUUUGGCGGGAACGAAAAGGACUGUGCCAAUACCACGGUUCGAUGACGGUACCCGCAGAAUAAGCACCGGCUAACUACGUG
This 484-nucleotide ribosomal RNA is filed under the name uncultured bacterium. RNAcentral's name for it is "partial 16S ribosomal RNA". It matches the Rfam family "Bacterial small subunit ribosomal RNA", at positions 29 to 507 of the family's 1533-position model. The record is from RNAcentral.